ACUCAAAUGAAUUGACGGGGGCCCGCACAAGCGGUGGAGCAUGUGGUUUAAUUCGACGCAACGCGAAGAACCUUACCUGGGCUCGAACGGCUUUGGAAAGACCUUGGAAACAGGGUUUCUCCCGCAAGGGACCGGAGUCGAGGUGCUGCAUGGCUGUCGUCAGCUCGUGUCGUGAGAUGUUGGGUUAAGUCCCGCAACGAGCGCAACCCUUGUCCUGUUUUGGCAUGCCGAAAGGCGCAACUAUCAGGAGACCGCCAGCGAUAAGUUGGAGGAAGGUGGGGAUGACGUCAAGUCAUCAUGGCCUUUAUGUCCAGGGCUACACACGUGCUACAAUGGGCGGUACAAAGCGCUGCGAACCCGCGAGGGGAAGCUAAUCGCAAAAAACCGUCCUCAGUUCGGAUCGCAGGCUGCAACUCGCCUGCGUGAAGCUGGAAUCGCUAGUAAUGGUAUAUCAGAACGAUACCGUGAAUACGUUCCCGGGCCUUGUACACACCGCCCGU
Molecule: ribosomal RNA, 500 nt
Filed under: uncultured bacterium
Lineage: Bacteria
Description: partial 16S ribosomal RNA
Rfam family: Bacterial small subunit ribosomal RNA
Source: RNAcentral